CAGCAGCCGCGGGAAUACGUAGGUCCCGAGCGUUGUCCGGAUUUAUUGGGCGUAAAGCGAGCGCAGGCGGUUAGAUAAGUCUGAAGUUAAAGGCUGUGGCUUAACCAUAGUACGCUUUGGAAACUGUUUAACUUGAGUGCAAGAGGGGAGAGUGGAAUUCCUAGUGUAGCGGUGAAAUGCGUAGAGAUUAGGAGGAACACCAGUGGCGAAAGCACUCUGCUGGGCUGACACUGACACUGAGAGACGAAAGCUAGGGGAGCAAAUGGGAUUAGAUACCCGCGUAGUCCCUGUCUCUAUACAC
This 301-nucleotide ribosomal RNA is filed under the name uncultured bacterium. Its description in RNAcentral is "partial 16S ribosomal RNA". It matches the Rfam family "Bacterial small subunit ribosomal RNA", at positions 509 to 809 of the family's 1533-position model. The record is from RNAcentral.